AGAACGAACGCUGGCGGCAUGCCUAAUACAUGCAAGUCGAACGAACUCUUCGGAGUUAGUGGCGCACGGGUGCGUAACGCGUGGGAAUCUGCCCCUUGGUUCGGAAUAACAGUUGGAAACGACUGCUAAUACCGGAUGAUGACGAAAGUCCAAAGAUUUAUCGCCAAGGGAUGAGCCCGCGUAGGAUUAGCUAGUUGGUGAGGUAAAGGCUCACCAAGGCAACGAUCCUUAGCUGGUCUGAGAGGAUGAUCAGCCACACUGGGACUGAGACACGGCCCAGACUCCUACGGGAGGCAGCAGUAGGGAAUAUUGGACAAUGGGCAAAGCCUGAUCCAGCAAUGCCGCGUGAGUGAUGAAGGCCUUAGGGUUGUAAAGCUCUUUUACCCGAGAUGAUAAUGACAGUAUCGGAGAAUAAGCCCUGCUAACUCCGCGCCAGCAGCCGC
RNAcentral lists this ribosomal RNA (443 nucleotides) under uncultured soil bacterium. Its description in RNAcentral is "bacterial SSU rRNA". It matches the Rfam family "Bacterial small subunit ribosomal RNA", at positions 26 to 518 of the family's 1533-position model. The record is from RNAcentral.